This is a long non-coding RNA of Coregonus clupeaformis (lake whitefish), 675 nucleotides long. RefSeq lists it as uncharacterized. The record is from RefSeq and is a predicted model, not a curated record. NCBI's taxonomy places the organism in Eukaryota, Metazoa, Chordata, Actinopteri, Salmoniformes, Salmonidae. The transcript has 2 exons.
CCGGGCUACAAGACUUUCUAAAUCCUAACAUUGCUGAGCCUCACAACGACCGCCUUUCCUGUAGUUUUGUCUUUCCAACAUACGUAUUGGUGCACACAAGAGCCUUGGUUGUAAGGAUUCUCGAUACCAUGCUCUUAACGUAGCUAGAACGAGAUGUGGCUCAAAGCAGAGUCAAACGGUUUCAGUCAGACAUUCACGCUUGCCAUACAAAGUUGAAAUAUCUAAUAGCCAAUACAUUUUGAAUUGAAUAACAUUGCUUGUGAAUAUCAGAGCUGUAACCGUUUGACACGUUGGCUAAAGCAAAUACCAAGGUAGUCAUGGCUCCUGCUCCAGAGGGAAUACCAGGUAGUCAUGGCUCCUGCUCCAGAGGGAAUACCAGGUAGUCAUGGCUCCUGCUCCAGAGGGAAUACCAGGUAGUCAUGGCUCCUGCUCCAGAGGGAAUACCAGGUAGUCAUGGCUCCUGCUCCAGAGCAAAUACCAGGUAGUCAUGGCUCCUGCUCCAGAGGGAAUACCAGGUAGUCAUGGCUCCUGCUCCAGAGCAAAUACCAGGUAGUCAUGGCUCCUGCUCCAGAGCAAAUACCAGGUAGUCAUGGCUCCUGCUCCAGAGCAAAUACCAGGUAGUCAUGGCUCCUGCUCCAGAGGGAAUACCAGGUAGUCAUGGCUCCUGCUCCAGAG